Molecule: non-coding RNA, 31 nt
Filed under: Homo sapiens (human)
Lineage: Eukaryota; Metazoa; Chordata; Mammalia; Primates; Hominidae
Source: RNAcentral
UGCCCAGAGGUAGAAGAGGGUGUUGGAAACC